AGCAGCCGCGGUAAUUCCAGCUCCAAUAGCGUAUAUUAAAGUUGUUGCAGUUAAAAAGCUCGUAGUUGAACUUCGGGGUUUACCCAUUGGUCAGGCUUAAUUGUCUGCACUGGUGAGAUGGAUCUCUACCUUCUGAGGAACUUUCAUGCCAUUUAUUUGGUGUGAUGGGAAAUCAGGACUGUUACUUUGAAAAAUUAGAGUGUUUAAAGCAGACUAUCGUCUGAAUACAUUAGCAUGGAAUAAUGAAAUAGGACGGACUGAUUCUAUUUCGUUGGUUCUAGGAUCACCGUAAUGAUUAAUAGGGAUAGUUGGGGGCAUUAGUAUUCAAUUGUCAGAGGUGAAAUUCUUGGAUUUAUGAAGACUAACUACUGCGAAAGCAUUUGCCAAGGAUGUUUUCAUUAAUCAAAGAACGAAAGUUAGGGGAUCGAAGACGAUCAGAUACCGUGUAGUCUUAACCAUAAACUAUGCCGAACUAGGGAUCGGACGAAGUUAAUUUUAUAAUGACGCG
This 508-nucleotide ribosomal RNA is filed under the name uncultured Diversisporaceae. Its description in RNAcentral is "SSU rRNA". It matches the Rfam family "Eukaryotic small subunit ribosomal RNA", at positions 569 to 1078 of the family's 1831-position model. The record is from RNAcentral. Lineage: Eukaryota; Fungi; Glomeromycota; Glomeromycetes; Diversisporales.